RNAcentral lists this ribosomal RNA (253 nucleotides) under uncultured bacterium. RNAcentral's name for it is "partial 16S ribosomal RNA". It matches the Rfam family "Bacterial small subunit ribosomal RNA", at positions 524 to 776 of the family's 1533-position model. The record is from RNAcentral.
UACAGAGGUGGCAAGCGUUGUUCGGAAUUACUGGGCGUAAAGGGCGCGUAGGCGGCCUACUAAGUCAGACGUGAAAUCCCCCGGCUUAACCUGGGAACUGCGUCUGAUACUGGACGGCUUGAGUAUGGGAGAGGGAUGUAGAAUUCCAGGUGUAGCGGUGAAAUGCGUAGAUAUCUGGAGGAAUACCGGUGGCGAAGGCGGCAUCCUGGACCAUUACUGACGCUGAGGCGCGAAAGCUAGGGGAGCAAACGGG